GAGAGAAGCUUGCUUCUCUUGAGAGCGGCGGACGGGUGAGUAAUGCCUAGGAAUCUGCCUGGUAGUGGGGGAUAACGUCCGGAAACGGACGCUAAUACCGCAUACGUCCUACGGGAGAAAGCAGGGGACCUUCGGGCCUUGCGCUAUCAGAUGAGCCUAGGUCGGAUUAGCUAGUUGGUGAGGUAAUGGCUCACCAAGGCGACGAUCCGUAACUGGUCUGAGAGGAUGAUCAGUCACACUGGAACUGAGACACGGUCCAGACUCCUACGGGAGGCAGCAGUGGGGAAUAUUGGACAAUGGGCGAAAGCCUGAUCCAGCCAUGCCGCGUGUGUGAAGAAGGUCUUCGGAUUGUAAAGCACUUUAAGUUGGGAGGAAGGGUACUUACCUAAUACGUGAGUAUUUUGACGUUACCGACAGAAUAAGCACCGGCUAACUCUGUGCCAGCAGCCGCGGUAAUACAGAGGGUGCAAGCGUUAAUCGGAAUUACUGGGCGUAAAGCGCGCGUAGGUGGUUCGUUAAGUUGGAUGUGAAAUCCCCGGGCUCAACCUGGGAACUGCAUCCAAAACUGGCGAGCUAGAGU
RNAcentral lists this ribosomal RNA (580 nucleotides) under Pseudomonas sp. 156(2013). Its description in RNAcentral is "bacterial SSU rRNA". It matches the Rfam family "Bacterial small subunit ribosomal RNA", at positions 71 to 647 of the family's 1533-position model. Lineage: Bacteria; Pseudomonadati; Pseudomonadota; Gammaproteobacteria; Pseudomonadales; Pseudomonadaceae. The record is from RNAcentral.